CCUACGGGUGGCAGCAGUGGGGAAUAUUGCACAAUGGGCGAAAGCCUGAUGCAGCAACGCCGCGUGAGCGAUGACGGCCUUCUGGUCGUAAAGCUAUGUUCUCCAGGCAGUUAAUUACGGUACUUGGGGAGGACGCCCCGGCCAACUUCGUUCCAGCCACCGCGGUAAUACGGAGGGGGCUAGCGUUAUCCGGAAGUACCGGGCGUAAAGGGGGCGUAGGUGGGGAUUUAAGACAGGGGUGAAAGGCUACGGCUCAACCGGAGUAAGCCGUUGAAACUGGGGAACUUGAGUGCAGGAGAGGAGAGCGGAAUUCCUAGUGUAGCGGUGAAAUGCGUAGAUAUUAGGAGGAACACCAGUGGCGAAGGCGGCUCGCUGGACUGUAACUGACACUGAGGCACGAAAGCGUGGGGAGCAAACAGGAUUAGAUACCCUAGUAGUC
RNAcentral lists this ribosomal RNA (439 nucleotides) under uncultured bacterium. RNAcentral's name for it is "partial 16S ribosomal RNA". It matches the Rfam family "Bacterial small subunit ribosomal RNA", at positions 338 to 795 of the family's 1533-position model. The record is from RNAcentral.